CCGGCAUUAUUGUAAUCUUCGUAAACAAAAGUGGGUAAUUACUUGAUAACUUUAUAUAACAAGUGCUGAUCAUGGACUGAAUUUCGGAUUUAAAUUUUAUUUAUUUUUAACCGUGCUUCAGAUCUAUGUAAAAUAUGAUAUUUUUUGGACCAAGACUGGCCCAUGGUCUGCUCAAUGUAAUAAACCGAUACAGUCGGCAAUUCCGUUGUCGGAUUCAGAGGUUAUUUGUCUUGUGAGGUUCAUCUCGCUGAUAGAGAGCACUAUCCCUCGUUUCUGUCCUGUGUCUGCCUCACUCUUCUCCAUUGGCUUCAGC
Molecule: long non-coding RNA, 313 nt
Filed under: Elaeis guineensis (African oil palm)
Lineage: Eukaryota; Viridiplantae; Streptophyta; Magnoliopsida; Arecales; Arecaceae
Description: long non-coding RNA (EGUI_LNC081170)
Source: RNAcentral